UGGCUCAGUCAGGAGAGCGCUUGCCUUGCAAGCAUGAGGACCUGAGUUCAACCCCCAG
Molecule: transfer RNA, 58 nt
Filed under: Mus musculus (house mouse)
Lineage: Eukaryota; Metazoa; Chordata; Mammalia; Rodentia; Muridae
Rfam family: tRNA
About the family: Transfer RNA (tRNA) molecules are approximately 80 nucleotides in length. Their secondary structure includes four short double-helical elements and three loops (D, anti-codon, and T loops). Further hydrogen bonds mediate the characteristic L-shaped molecular structure. tRNAs have two regions of fundamental functional importance: the anti-codon, which is responsible for specific mRNA codon recognition, and the 3' end, to which the tRNAs corresponding amino acid is attached (by aminoacyl-tRNA synthetases). tRNAs cope with the degeneracy of the genetic code in two manners: having more than one tRNA (with a specific anti-codon) for a particular amino acid; and 'wobble' base-pairing, i.e. permitting non-standard base-pairing at the 3rd anti-codon position.
Source: Rfam by way of RNAcentral